UGGCGAAGGGUGAUGCCGCAUUGUCGAAGCAGGGGUUUCGGAAGCUGCUCUUUCAAGCACUGUCAACCAUAGUUGGGUGUUCCUGUACGGAUGCAAACUUGUGAAGCUAUCGAAGCAUGCCAAAAGAGGAUGCGUUGUGUUGCAGUAAGCCUGUGAUCAAACAGCCACAUGGGCCUGAUCACACGGUUGGCCACGCGGCUGAUCGUUCCCCAAGAUCAGUCUGCUGACCUCUAGCAGCCUCCUAGUUUUAUUGUUUGUGCGAGACUCGGUCUCAGGACCAGCCUAGCAUGUUGGUUUUAUUUAUUUUUGUUUCUGUUUUGGUUACUUUUUAUCUUGCUUUUGUUUCCUUCUUUUUCUUAUUUCAUUUAUAUACUUAUUAUUUUACAACCUUGUACCUUUUUUAUUUUGGUUAUUUUUUUCUCACGCUUUUCUUUUUUUCUUCCUUUUAUUUUCUUCCAUUUUCUAUUUUCCUCGAAAAAAUCAUUUAAUAUUUCUUUUUCGAAUGCGAAGAAUUUUUUAAAUAUUUCAUUGGGUAUUAAAAACGUUUAAUCAUCUAUUAAAAAUGUUCAACAUGUAUUAAAAAUGUGUAUUUUAUACAGUAAAAAACCAUGUGUUAAAAAAGUUCAUCAUGUAUUUUAAAAAUGUACGCACAUAGAAAACAUGUUGUCACUUAGUGUUAAAAAAGGUCAUUGUUUAUUAACUAAUGUUCACCUUGUAUGAAUAUGCUCAUUAAAUAUUAAAUAUUAUCAUGGCGUAUUUAAAAACUAUUCUUUAUGUGUCUUAAUGUUUUUUCGUGUAUUUUAGAAAUAGUCAAAUUGUUUUAAAAACAAAACCAUGGUGUAUUACAUAUAUGUUCAACAUGUAUCUAUAAAUUAUUUAUAAUGGAGUAAAAUAUGUUCAUCCAGUAUAUUAAUUGCUUCGAAUAUAUUUAAAAAGUGUUCAUAUUUAUUUGAAUGUUUAUCAUGUAAUAGAAUUUUAUGUUCUUAUUUAUUACAAAGUUGCUCGUCAUUUAUAUAAAAAAAAUUAGUGCAUUUUUAUCAAUUUUAACAUAUUUUUCUAAACAAUACUUAAUGUAAUCUAGAGAAAAUUUUGACCUGUCUUGUUUUAUUAUAUAGCCAAUAAGUAGAUAUUACACAACAGAGGAGAGAAAAGUAAGUGAAAUAAAAGUGGAAAAAACAGAAUUAAGAAACACUGCGGUUGCAUGCCUACGCUUCUAAUAGGCCUUCGGCCCACCUACACCGCAGCCCACCCACUCGGGCCAAGCCCAUGUGUGGGCGCCCUGUUUUUAAUUUUAUUUUUUGUUUUUAGUGUUUCUUUUAUGUUUUCUUUUUGUACUGUAUUAAAUAAUUUGGUAUUCCGAAAAAGUUUCUUUUUUUUUAAAUGAUCACUUCCUAAAUAAAAUGUUCAAAGACUGAUCAAAUGUUUAUUAUUCAAAAAUUGUUUGUAUAUUUUUUAAUUCGCAUAUUCCAAAAAUGUUCCACAAACGAAAAAAUGCGCACGAUUUUUAAAAAGUGUUCAUUUAUUAUGAAAUUUCAAAUAAAUAGGAAAAAAUUCCUGGCAUCUCAAAAAUUCUUCAUGAAUUUUCAAUAAUGUUCUAAAAAUUCAAAAACUGUUCGGGAAUUACAAAAUAGUUCAUCUAUUCAUAAAAUAUCUGCUGACAAAAAUGUUCAUGCAUUUCAAAAAAUGUUUGUUCAAAUAAAAAAUGUUUAUGCAUUUCGAAAACUUUCCACCAAUUGGCAUAAAAAUUGACCAUCGAUUCAAAAUAUGUUCCCCGAUUCAAAAUGGAAUUACAAAAUUCACAAUUUAAGAACAACGUUUUCAUAUACAUAUUAAGAGUUCAUGAAUUCAAAAAAUGGUCAAAGAUUUUAAAAAUAUUAGCAAAUUCUUAAAUUUUUGACGAUUUUGAAUAAUAUUCAUGAUUUCAAAACCAUACCAACCACCACAUACUUGACAAGUUGGAGGUAAUAUGGGUAUCCCCAAAGCUGCUUAGAAGUUCCAGUCCUCGUUUCAGGGCCGUCUCCUCCACAAUGAGAGCGUGAGCAGUUGGUUUGAUAAAAAAAAAAAGGUUUUUGCAGCAACGAACUGACCUGAAUCAUAGUGAAUGAUAGUCCGUCACGAACUAGAGUUGUAGCUGGGCAUGUUCAAUCUGAAGUGGGCCGUGUAGGAGAUGUAGCUGGGCAUGUAGAUGUAGCUGGGCAUGUAGACUGUUCAAUCGGAGGAACUACUAGCAAACAAGUCGGUGCAGUGCAUAUGGAUAGUCAUAAAGCUAGCUAGCACUGGAGUGGGAGAGUGCAUCUUCUAGCGAGUAGUCUAGUCCGUAAUCAAUAAAUCCAGCAGCAGCAUGGUCGUGCAUGUAAUCAUACCGUUUCCGCUUUUCAACUGCCACAAAGCACCGUCACAUCCCAGGCCGGCCGCCCGACGACGCCAUGCCUCCCUGCACUUGCCUACAUUUUUUUUUUGCGGAAUAAUUCUUGUAUUACUCAAUCAAAACACGGUUACAGUCAUGCUUAACAGCGUCCAAAACGGCAUCUGGUCCUGACCCAAGCCAUACAGCAACUCGGCCUUGGGUCCUCCCAAAGUUGGCCAAAACAUGACUAGAAUUAUUACAACCACGAUGGAUAUGAGUAAUACAAGAACUACGUUCGGACAUACUAUCUUUAAUCUCUCUAAUAAGAAAGGCAUAUUUUGAUCUAUUUGUAUCUCCACUUUUCACCAUGUUCACUGCUUUCAAACUGUCGAUUUCAAUAUAAAUUGGUAGACUGCUCCACUGUAGAGCGAGCAUGAGUCCCUCCCGGAUUGCUAAGAUCUCAGCCUCCAAAAUAUCAUCACAAGAAAAAAGGUGUCUACAAGAGCUGAAGAUGAUGGUGCCGGUGUGGUCACGGAGCAGCAUACCUGUUCCUCCAACUCCAUUCAAAACAGAUCCAUCUGUAUUUAGCUUUACAUGCCAGUGGCCGGGGGUAUCCAAGAAACAAGAUUAGUGGAAACCUUAUUGCAUUCGUGAGCUGUAAGAGGGAAACAGUAUUGAAGUGGGGCUUUCCCUUUCACAUGAACAUCACCAGAACGUGUUGCAAAUGAUUGUAGCGAUGAUAGGUAGCUUGAUAAAAAUCUGACAAAGACAUCCAAAGGAGGGGCGGGUUUAAAAUGCACGAGCUCGUUUCUAACAUACCAAAUUCGCCAAAAGAGCAUCACCAGUCGAACUCGUGUAGACUCAUCAACCUCGCAGAUAUACUGAAUAAACCAAUCAGGCCCAGUUGACUUGAUCGAAGAUACAUCCGGCAAGAACCAUUCAGCAGCCAUGGCUCUCUAUAGAGCUCUUGCGUACGUGCAUGAACAGAAUGUAUGCAACGUGUCUUCUUCAUUAGCACCACAAAUAGGGCAUAGCGAGCAUGUCUCCAGAUUCCGUUUCAUCUUGUUACUCCAAGUAGCAAGGGAAUUAUUUGCAAGGCGCCAUGCAAAACUCAAUACUUUCGGGGGAGCCGGACAAGACCAUAGAGCCUUCCAGCCCUCACGGCGUCCAUCCGGCCGGCUGCUCGAAGUGACCAUGAGCCCAUUAUGAAGAUCAUCCGAGGCCAGACGGUAAGCACUUCGCACACUAAAAACACCCGAUUUUUCAGGGGCCCAGGCAAUGAAUCCUCACCCAAGCGAUGAGAAGGGCGAAUUUUCUGGAUCUCACAAAUGUCAACUGGGAGAAAGAAUUGCUGCAAUUUCGUAUUGUCCCAAUUUCCAUUGUGGUCCAUAAGCUCAUAAACCCACUUAAAUCUACAUCGACCUUUUGGAGAUAUAAGCCCACCAGUAGGAUCCCGAACAAUCCAUCUAUCACGCCAAAUUCUAACAUUUUGACCAUUUGCAAUCCUCCAAACCAUACCCUUCUUUAACAGUUCCAGGCCAUGGCAAAUAGCUUGCCAAGUAGGUGAUGGAUUACCUGUGAACACAGUGUCUUCCAAUCUCCCAUUAGGAUAGUAUUUUGCCUUCAGUAGCGUAGCACAGAGACCAUCAGGAUGGGUUAGGAGACGCCAAGCCUGUCGUGCUAACAAAGAUUGAUUAAACAAUCUGAAAUCUCUAAAGCCCAAACCACCUUGACACUUUGGCCUUGUCAUUUUGUUCCAUGCAUACCAAUGUGUUUUCCUCUUCCCCUUCUCCGCACCCCAGAAAUAAUAUUUGACCAUGCGGUUCAAAUCAUCACAAACUUCAAAGGGGAGCUUAAAGACACUCAUUAAAUAGUUUGGAAUUGCCUAUGCAACAGAUUUAAUUAGUACCUCCUUACCAGCUUGAGUUGGGUGGCCAUCAAAAGAGAACAAUCUCUUCGUAAGUUUUACUUGGAGAUUCUGAAAUUUACCAUUUGUCAUUCUGCCAUCCGGGGUUGGAAGACCAAGAUACUUUUCCUCAAACCCAAUAGUCAGGACUUGAAGAGCAUCCUUGACUGAAUCCAUGUUGUUCUUAGGGCAGGAGUUACCAAAUAAGAUAGAGCACUUAGCAGGAUUGAUUAGUUGUCCUGUAGCAUGACCAUAAGCAUCUAGGAUGUUUUUAACAUGUGUGGCUUGUUGGUCAGAAGCUUUGAAGAAGAGCAGAGUGUCAUCAGCAAAUAGCAAAUGGGAUAUACUAGGGGCCCUUCUUGUUAUUCUCAAAGGAGAAAUAUUACCAAGUACAAUACCUUGAUUUAUCAGAGCAGACAGACCAUCAGCAACAAACAGAAACAAAUAUGGGGAUAGCGGAUCACCUUGCCGAAGACCACGCGUCGGUGCAAACGAAUCCAAGAUGGCUCCAUUAAAUUUUACGGAGUAUCUCACUGAGGUCACACAAGUCAUUAUCCAGUUAACCCAUUUGUGAGCGAAGCCAAGCUUUUGCAUCAUUUUCUUAAGAUAAGACCAAUCUACCCGAUCAUAUGCCUUUGAGAGGUCAAGUUUGUAUGCACAAUAACUCCUUGUCGGAUCCUUCUCUUGCUUGAUGUGAUGGAUACAUUCAAAAGCUAUCAAUGCAUUAUCAGUAAUCAUACGCCCUGGGAUGAAAGCACUUUGAUAGGGGGAAAUAAUAUCAUCCAAAACAUGUCUAAGCCUAUUAACCAAGCACUUUGAAACUACUUUGUAAAUAACAUUACAUAAGCUUAUAGGGCGAAAAUCAGUAACCUUCACUGGGUUUUGAAUUUUAGAAAUCAUGACAAUCACUGUAUCAUUUACCUCCGGUGGCAUUAUUCCCAUGCAAAAAAAAUUCCUUCACAGCGCCUAUAACACUUUCCUUGAGAGUAGACCAGUUCCUCUGGAAAAAUCGUGCCGGGAAUCCAUCAGUACCCGGUGCCUUUAGGGGGCCAAUCUGAAAGAGUGCAUCAGAUAUUUCUUUUUCUGUGAACUCUCCACACAAUAUAUCAUUUGUUUCCUCACCUACCAAAGGUGCAAUAAGAUCAAUGAUAGGAGAAGAGUCCAGAUUACUUUCAGCCGUGAAAAUAUCCUCAAAAUAUCUAGUCGCUGCUGCACCCAUCUCCUUACUGUCAGUGUGGAUAACACCAUUGAUGUCUUGAAGUUUCUUUAUUCGAUUUUUCCUGGCUCGCCAAACAGCCUUGGCGUGAAAAAAAUUUGUAUUGCGAUCGCCGUCCUUCAGCCAAGUAAUACGUGAGCGCUGCAUCCACAUAAGUUCCUCUCUAUACAACAGUUCGUUCAUUUUAUCUGUAACUCUUCGUAUUUCCAUUCUGUCGGCGUUCAUUAAUAUAAGUUCUUCUAGUUGAGAACGUGUUUUUUCUAUAUCUCUAACAACGCUACCAAACUUUGUUUUACUCCAUUGACAAAGUUUACGCAUUGUUUCACGUAGAGCCCCAUGUACAUCACCAAGAGAACCUUUUUGACCAGCGGCCUCCCAUGCAUUCGCAAUGACUUCCUGUAAAGCCGGCUCCCGUUCCCACAUAACUUCAUAACGCCUAAUCCUCGGUUUGUACUGCUGAUCCUCCAGUAACUCAGUAGCUAUGUAAAGAGGUGCAUGAUACGAACAAGGAGAGGUAAGGUGCUGGACCAGCGAGUAAUCAAAUCGAUUCCUCCAUGCUGGGUUAGCCACUGCCCUAUCCAAGCGAACUUUAACAUUUGCAUUACCUGACCUCUUGUUAUCAUAGGUGUAGGGAACACCCACAAAGCCCAAAUCAACCAGCUGACUUGUUUCUAAAACAUCUCUAAAAGCUUGCAUUUGCCCAGCUGGUCGUGGUGUCAUCGAGAAGUGUUCAAAAUCCCACAUGCAUUCAUUAAAAUCACCAACCACAAGCCAGGGGAGAUCAGACUGAGCACUCAAAUUUUCCAACAGAGACCACAUAUUGUGUCGAUCUUCUACCCUUGGUUCUCCAUAAACACAAGUUAGGCGCCAAGGUGGAUCAUCUGCUCCUGCCUUAACCUGUGCAUCAAUGCAUCGCUGAUUCGAGAAAACCACCUCAACAGACAGCGAUUCGUGCCAAAACAGUGCCAAGCGACCACUAUUACCAAUACUGUCUACUGCAUCAAAACCUUGAAGUCCCAAACGAGCUCGAUAUCUUUUCAUACGAUUUUUUGAUUGCCUAGUUUCACAUAGAAACACCAUGGUGGGGGAAUGCGACUGAACCAUAGUCGCUAAAUCACGAACUGUCCGGGAGUUCCCCCCUCCCCGGCAGUUCCAACUCAGGAGAUUCAUUUGUCCUGGCGGCGUUCCGCCUGGGAACCCGCCGUAGUGGACAAUGUUUUUGAUUUGUUUGUAUUCUGAUCUGACCUCAACCUCUUUUGCUCCUGUUUUGCGGAUGGACUAGCAGGCACACUCGCCGGCGUAGGCAGAAGGAGCUGGCCCUUGACACUACUAGGCGUAGUAACAUUCUGCCCAAACCCGGUCAGCCCCCUUUUCCUGCUUACAUCUAGGUCUAUAUCUGCACCAUCCUUUUUACUAGCAUCAACCUCCAUCACUUUCCCAUCAUUUACCUCAGAAGAAUUAGUACGAGGGUCAUCAUCCGUGUUACGAUUUGCACGUGUUGCCGCCCCCCCAAGUAGCUCGAAGAUCCUUGAAGAACAGAGCCGAAACUGGAUGCACUCCAUCACCAUGUUCAGUAUGGAGAUGGCCGAUCAUGCCGCAUAGAGCACACCAGUCCGGAAGACGCUCGUACUUGACUCUGAAUAUAUGCCUCUUCUUCUUUCUCACAACAGAAACGUGGUUCUUUAAUUUAUGCUGAACAUCAAGAACAAUUCUUACACGGUAAAAAUUGCCAGCCAUAUCUCGUCCUCUGCUGUCCAGGGAGUAGAACUCCCCUGCUGUUCCCGCAAGAGUUGUGACCAGGGGCUCAAAACCAUCCGGCAGGUCUAUGAUUUGCAUCCAUAUUUUAAAAUUGUUUAGAUCAAUGGAAGAGGGUCUUGUGAAUCCAUCAUAAGACGCCAUUAGAACAGGAUUGCCACGGAAGGUCCAAGGGCCACCCUCCAUCACCUUGUCCCAAUCGCCCAGACAUGAGAAUUGCAUCGUGUAUAGCCCGUCCCCUAAUGAUCUGAACCUGACAUCUUGUGCGAGAUCCCAUGCACUGCGCAUGUUCUUGUAAAACCAGAAGUCGCCAAACUCCUUUGUAGUGUGCACAUGCCCGAUUGCCAGCCAACAAAUCGAACCAGCCACCUGCUCCGGGCACACCUCCUCAUAGAUCACAUCACUCAGAUCCGUAUCCUCAAUUCCGAGCUGUUUCAUCAUCUCCUGAAGAUCAUCGUCUCCUACAACCGAAUCUGCAUCAACUGACGCCAUGGCAAGGAAAACCUAACCCUAGUCCACGCGGGAGCAGGGUGAGAACUCCAACCGCCCGAUCCCAGGAGGUAGCAGCCAAGGCCGGGCAGCGCCGCGAGGACGCCCCAGAGUCAGCCCGAGCGCGUACCAGGAGGGAGGACGACAGCGGAGGACGGGGGACUCAACGUUUGCGUCGCCGCAGCCGAGAGGUGCAACCCUAGCGAGAGGGGAAAAAACCCCACCGAGGGAGUAAGUCUGUGUGCAACAUGCAGCGAGCUGCACUUGCCUACAUAUGCUAUGGUAUGCAUGCAACCCUGCAAAGCCACAGAUGGAAAGUGCAUACGUAUCCUACUACUGGCAAAGAUGACUAGCUAGCAGUUCGCAGGUGAUCGAGGCGUCCAUGGCAUGGGCCUGUUUGUUUCUCGUGCUUGUAUUCUCCAAGGCUGAUCAUGAAAACACCGGCGUGGGAGAGAAGUUGUGACACGUAAGUGCGGGGCACCUAGUCACUCACGCGUGUUAUUUUUAUUUUUUGGCUUUCAAAUUUUAAACUUUUACAUUCUUUGAAUAAAAGGUCCAAAUUGAGUUCUAUGUUUUCAAAUUCGUGUUUCUCGUGAUGACGACUAUCAAAGAGAUCCACGGUUAAUAUGUUUUCAUGAAUUUUGAAAAUAAAUAUCAACUUUCAACUCUUGAAACUUAGUACGUGCAAACGAUAAAAUCAUGAUUUUUGUGUCUAUGAUGACAAAAAAUAUCUUAAAAAUUUAUCCAAGAAAUUCGUAAUUCCCAGAUAAAAAGUCAUNNNNNNNNNNNNNNNNNNNNNNNNNNNNNNNNNNNNNNNNNNNNNNNNNNNNNNNNNNNNNNNNNNNNNNNNNNNNNNNNNNNNNNNNNNNNNNNNNNNNNNNNNNNNNNNNNNNNNNNNNNNNNNNNNNNNNNNNNNNNNNNNNNNNNNNNNNNNNNNNNNNNNNNNNNNNNNNNNNNNNNNNNNNNNNNNNNNNNNCACCAUCACUUGUAACAAAAAAAAGGAGUGAAUAUUAUAAAACUACCACAAUUCGCGUUACGGUUUCAAAAAAUACUAGAAAUUUGUUGUGACUAAUAACUAGUAGAACGGGCGUCGGCUGUUUCAAAAAAUCCAAAACCACCGUUGCUAAUAAAUUAAACCGGUUUAUGACAAACAAACCAUCUAUUUGACCGUUAAAUGUCAGUUAUCUCUUCCUUCUUAUCCUCCCUUAUCUCUUUCUCUCUCUCCGCGCAAGCCCGCCGGAUAUGCACUGGCCGCCCCUCCUCCUCCCUCUCCCCUUCUCUGCGAGCUAGCCCUCCUCCCCCCGGCCGACCCUCCUCCUCCCUCUCCUCCUCUGGCCGGAGCACGGCCUCCGGCAGGGCAGUGGUGCGCCCCUCCAUUGCAUGCGGUGGCGCCCCUCUCGCCAGUGCGCAGCGGUGCGCCCCUCUGCGUCGGCCGGCAAGGCAAAGAGCAGCAGCAACGGCGGCCGGCAAUUAAUAGCAGUAGGCGCGGCCGACAAGGAGCAGUAGCGCAGACGGCAAGGAGAAAUACGAGCAGCAUGCGCGGUCGGCGGGGAGCUCCGCCUGGACCGAUGUCGUCGCCCACCUGGAGGAGCCCGCCUCUGCGCCGAGGCCGGUGCCACCACCUUGAGCCGGCGUUGCCAUGGACCACCACCUCGAGCCGGCGCUGCCAUGGACCACCACCUCGACCUGGCGCCGAGGUCGGCCACACCGCCGCCAUGAAGGAGGUGCACGGACCGCUCGAGGGGAUAGAAGAGGGCUCGCGGCCGGCCACUGCUCACGGUCACAGCUGCCAUAGCCACGGGCUGGGCUGGGCUGGCCGCAGCCAUGGCUGCCGGCCACAACCACGGCCGGCUUAUACAGGGACUGGAUUGCUUUUUGAAAAAUGAUUGAGGGACCCGAUUGCUUUUUAAAAAUCUUCGUAGGGGUUAUUCCGUAAAAGUAAGGGCACAAUUUUAAAUUUAUAAAAGAACCAGGGGUUAAAGAAAAAAAUUACAUGCGAUUUUUUAAUAGGGAGUAAGAAACUGACAUGUAGGCCCCACAUGUCAGCUAACGGUCAAACAAACGGUCAACCAAUCAGUUCUCCUACAUGUGGGCCCCAACUGUCAUAAUCGCGAUCAAUUGUAAAGCACUCGACCAUUUGGGUUUUUUGAAACAACCGACACCGGUUCUGAUAGUUAUUAGUCACAAACAAAUUUUUGGUAGUUUUCUGAAACCCUAACGCGAAUUGUGGUAGUUUUAUGCUAUUUACUCAAAAAAAAAGGAUAGGAUGCAAGAUCGUAGCCACGGUAAACCUCCAUGAAUAAUGACUUACUCCGAAGUUCUAUGAUGCACGGACUGAGCAUGGCCUGGGUUUUAUUACCUCGUUCUGUCCUUUCUUUCAGAGAUGGAAGAACUCAAGGAGGGAGGAGAAAAGCAUGAACACCAUAAACUGGAGUUUUUGGCAACGCUGCGUUUUUUCUGUUUCUUCCUUUUAUUAAAUACUUCCAAACAAACCGGCCAUGAUCCAUUUCUUCAGUGCCAUCCCACGGUCGUGAUCGUGGCCAAUGGUUACACGAUUACAGGAAUAGUUAAGUCAGGAAAAGUAAACACUUGUCUAUUCAUCCACAACACGAAUGCGCGUGCUUCUGGCAUUAUUUGUAGUACAUCCAACAUAAAUUCCAGGUAGAAUGUAAAAUCCAACUAGAACGUACCGGCUAUAACAUAAAAUCCGUCUAAAAACAUAAGAUCCAGCCAGAGCAUCAAAUCCAGCGAGAACAGAGAACUUCAGUGUAUCCGGGUUAACCACAACAGACAUGACCCUCCUUAGAUCUUGGCCCGAGCGGGGUGGUGGGUGCGACGGGGUGCAGCGGGCAAGGCGAGGUGAGAUGGGGGAGAGCAGUUGCCGAGGCAGCAAGAUUUGGGAGAUCACUUAAACCUCACCGAAAUUUGAGGGAGCAACAUGGGUUUUUACCUUUUAGAGUGUGGAUGGGAGAGUGGAGGAGUGGUUUUAUCUGGUAGAUAGAUGCUCCCAUGAAUUAGUUAGAUGCUUUAAGGAGUAAGAAAUAAAAUGUGGUACUCCCUCCGUCCGAAAAUAUUUGUCAUCAAAAUGAAUAAAAGGGAUGUAUCUAAUGUAUUUUACUUAUAGAUACACUCAUUUUUAUCCAUUUUGAUGACAAGUAUUUUCGGACGGAGGAAGUACUGUAAUAGAGAUGAGCAACAACGUGAAAAUAGGACCUCCGUGUCACACGGCCGGCCAUGGUGAAUGGUUGCACGCACGCGCGCACCUACGGUGGCCAAAUUCACUGUAUUGACCCUCUUUUCUUAACUUAAGCAUGAUUUGACCCUAUGUGCGAAUUUUUUCGGAUCUGACCCUUUUCCUACCGUCAUUGUCUUUGGCGGUAGGACUUACUUACACCGUCACGUUCGUUCAGUGUGUAAAGGACCCUACCGCCAUGGUCUUUGGCAGUAGGGGCAUGCAUGUAAUUAUAAUAAGGGUAUGCAUGCAAUAAAAGAUUCAUUUUUUGCAAAAAUGACCCUACCGUCAUCGUCUAUGGCGGUAGGGUAACACAUCCUACCGCCAUAGACUGUGGCGGUAGGGUGUUUUUUGUAAUAAACGAAGGUAACGAUGCAGGUAAGUCUUAUCGCCAAAGGCCUUGACGGUAGGGUGUGUUACCCUACCGUCAUAGACGAUGACGAUAGAAAAAAGGUCAGAUCCGAAAAACUUUUAUACAUAGGAUGAGAUCGUGCUAAACUAACACAAAAGGGUCAAAAAGAGUGAAUUUGGCUACCUACGGUGCGGGCAUGCAUGCAUGUUGUACUGCCGUCGCCGGGCCGCACGUGCAGGAGAUGUCAAGUUGUCAUCAGCUGUCAGCUGUCGGGAAGGCAUGGUGUCCCCCGGAUCGGCCGCUUGCAUCCCGGCCGCUCCCGGCGCACGCACGUACCCCGUCGAUCGCGCGCCGUCCCGUCUCACGUCGGUAUGUUCGUCCGGCCCGACCGGCCGUACGUGAUCGUCCCGAUCCGGGCAGCCGGAGAGAUGGCUGGCUGGCUGGUGUCACACACAGUGGCUCUCCGGCCGUUUUACUGCCGGACCUGAGCUCCGACAGGGAUCAAUCAAUUGACGUACCGCGGGCUAGCUAGUAGCCACCCCCGACAGGGAACGAAGGGUUAUUCUAUUCUCGAUCGACUAUUUUUCUCUUUUGAUGAGGAGGGUGUUGUCAACAUGACAACGUGGUGGUGAAUAUAUGUGUGAACAUGAUGCAUGCAUGGGACGAAAUUACUGUUUUGACUUUUUUUUCUAACUUAAUCAAAAAUUAACCCCGUUUGUAAGAAUUUCGAGUCUGACCUUUUUUGGUCACGCCAACAUCUCUGGCGUUUGGCUUACACAAGAGACGCCAGGGAUGACAGCGUUUGGGCCUGGCCCACACUUACCUAGCUCGCACCGAAGUGGCAGAGCCAAACGCCAUAGAUCUUGGCGUCUGGAGCCCUUGUAAACACAAAAAGUAUAGGUCUUGUCAUUUGUGAGCUGCGUAUGCGGGAACUGCGCUGCAUGCAUGCAUCAUUUGUGGACUUGCUUCCGUGUAAUUUUUUUAAUUAACUUUUGUGAUUAAUAAUCUGCUUGUUCGCCGCAACCAACGGCAAUUAUUUUCUCUACAACUCUACAAGUACACUUUGGGCAAGGCGUGAGGGAGGAGAGAGGAUUUCUAGGAGAUAAAUACGAGGAUUCGGUUUUCAAGUAAUUAAUCGCAUGGAUUGAUUUGUUGGCUAGGACUUGCCUACACCAAAGAUGAAGGCAUUGACAUAGAAGCAAAUUUAAAGUUCAUGUGUAUUUUAGAAAAUAAUAUGGCUCUAUGUCCACCACAAAAUGUUAUGCUAAAUAAAAAAAUAUGCGGUAUACUAUUUUUAAUCAUAUGUAUUAUGUAAACUAAUGAUUAAUGUGCUUUCUAAAAACACAUAUAUUAACAGCCACAGAUCCCCCUCCCCCCCAAUAAAGAAUAACCACAUAUUUAUGUUGUUUGUAUAUUAUAUUAGAUCGGUACACAAAGCUAAAUUUGGAGCAUGAGCUAGCUCAUGAUUUUAUUUGAUGUUGGAUCAAUAUAUGCACAGGUCCAAAUCUGAUGUUAAGAGCGUCUCCGUCAAGAACACGGCACCGACGCUCUCUUCUCCGAUGAUCCAGCCAGACCACAGAUGAGAUCACCACUCUAGGUCCCAUCAGCCAUAGUCGGCUUCACCAACGCUGUUGUCGUGCAUCGCCUGACGAAGGCCGCCACUCGAGCACACAUCUCCUACGCCGCCCUCCAGUGCUUCCACAAUAACACCCCCCCUUCUCCGUCUGGACCUCACCGCCGAUGGCAGUGUCGCACGGGUUUUGCCCGGCGACGCGCCUUGGCGACGGCGAGAGUGGAAGAUGACGAGUGGCGCAUCUUUGGAUCCCCUGCUUUUUUUUACAUAGACCACAAUACAUGUAUUUUAUCGGCAAAAAAAAUUCAUGCGGCCAGAAGACACGUUCGCAGUCUUUGUCAAAACAAUCAAUUUAAUAUUUUUUACUAUAUUUAUUUAGCAUAACAUUUUGUGGUGGACAUAGAGCCAUAUUAUUUUAUAAAAAACGCAUGAACUUUUAAUUUUUUUAUGUCAAUUCAAACUUAGAACGAAUUGGUAGUAGGUUAAUUAGUCUUAUCAGGGAACUGAAAAGAAUUGGUUCAGAAAAAAGGGAACUAAAAAGGAUUAGUAGUAUGUUUCAUUUAGCAAAAAACAUCGGUAGUACGCUUUCAUUCUAGAACAUACGAAACCAUCCAAACAGAUAUGGUUACAAUGUUGCUUAUUGGGCUGUGCUAAAUAAGUUAGUUACACGGCCACUUAACACGGGAUUAAUUCAUCCGAACUGCAUGUAUUUCUUAAAAGAACACAGCCAGGGAAGAAAAAGCACGACAUGAUACUUUGGCUUUCCAGCUCCUCACAUAAUUAAUCAGCCGCACUAACGAAUACCAAACCAGAAUAAUCAAAAGGCUCAGCAUGCUUUUCUUGUUUACUCCUGAUGGAAAGGCUCAAAUCGACAAGCCCUGUGGCGUUUGUUCCAGACUCCAAGUUCUAUGGCGUUUGGCUCUGCCACUUCGGCGCCAGCUGGGCAAGUGUGGGCCAGGCCCAAACGCCAUCUUCCCUGGCGUCUCCCGUGCAAGCCAAACGCCAGGGUUGUUGGCGUGACUAAAAAAGGUCAGAUUCGAAAUUCUUUUGCAAACUGGGUCAAUUCUUGAUUAAGUUAGGAAAAAAAGGUCAAAACAAUAAUUUCGUCCGCAUGCAUGCAUACGGCCAGCAGAAAUCAGCUGGUGCAUCUCCACAUCAACGGCAUGCACCGAUCUCCGUACACUGUCUCAUCCUUGUUUUUUUUUAACACUUCUCCAUCCUCAACUGCUCAUCGAGAUAAGUUGUGCGUGUAUGCGUUCAUAGGGGCUGAGUGGAUGCGCGUAUAUAUGAACGCUUGCGUCUGUACUGUGUUCAAAAAAAAAUCCCUCAUUCUUGCUCUCAUAAUCCAAUCAUCACCUAGAAAGUCAGAUGCGAAGAACAACCGAAAUAAUUCCUCGCAACGACAUUGAGAUCGAGGAACCAUCAAGCCCAACCAGCAUGUGCACCAUAGACACGUGGACAGGGCGGUGAGAACUUUCUCCUCGUUGCACAGCCUUCUUCGACAUGACAACGUUGCAUCUGGCAUGAAAAUGAAAGAAAGUAGGUGCAUAACCACGGUUAAGCCUCCAUCAGUAAGGGCAUUUCUAACUGAUCCCAUAUAAAAUAGAGGAGUAUCCAAACGAGUAAUCCUUAUUGAAGUAUUUAUACUUCACUAAAUUUUGGUUAAUUCUAGCCGAUCUUCUAAACUUAGCGGAUUAAAAUGUAAAUUUGCAUAAAUUCACUCUAGUUUCAACCAAAAUGUGCAGGCAUUUAAAUAUAAGUUCAACAUAGAUAGUCUUAAACAACCGAACAUUAAACAUAAAUUCAAACAUAAACUACAUUAGACUUAAACACAUUAGACUACUCAUCCUCCUCGGCCAUAGUGGAGGUUGAGCCAAUCCUUCAUCGACAGGCCACCCUCGGUCAAACAUGGGUCCAUGCCGGUGUCAUCGUCGUUACAAUCGGGGAAGAUGCUCCGCCACUCCUCGACGUUGAACUCCUCCUCCUCGCCGUCCUCCUUCCUCCCUCCUCACCAUCUUGCACCUCUUCGUCGGAGAUGACGAUGACCUCCCUGUCAUUGUCAACGAAUAUCGCCCGCUACGCCUCCACGAGCUCAGUGUGCUGGCGGUAGAGGUCCUGCACGUAUGCCUCAUCGGUGGCAUCCACCUCGAGGCGCUCCCUCGCCUCUUGGUCAUGCCAAGCCAUCGUCGCACUCACCACACCCAGCGGUGGGAGGAGGUGGACCGGCACCCUCCCGAACGAGAAGUUCAACCAGGCGGCAGAGCCGUGGAGCCGGACUUGCCACCAGUCGUUUUCCAUCGCCACGGUCGAGCUUCGUCGUGUGAAAUGACCCGGCCCACUUCCUCUGGUGGGUCUCCCGGCCGGUAAUCUCCUCCACCCAUGUCCCCCACGAGUGUUGCCGGACGCCGAGGUAGGUCCUCUACAGUGGCCGCGGCGGAGGGAGCUCUGGGAAGUCGGCGAAUCAGGUGGGGGCAGGCAGGUAGGGCGAGUGGCUGUGGCUGCUCGAGGAUGCGCCGCUAGAUGAUGACCCGCGGGUGACCUUCGGCCACCGCGCCCGACCAUUGGGAGACGAGGGGGUGGCGGGGCAAGGGGGAGAAGAGGAGGUAGAUGAGGGGAAAAUAGGGAGAUAUUUUUGUACUUGGCUGCCAAGGGGUGGAGUAAAUAUAGGAAGAUUCAUGAUGGCCGAGUAUAAUUGUUACUCUAUUAUGGCCUAUUGGGGAUCAGUUAGGUAUAAAUUAAAGGAAUAAAACCAGGAUUUUACUUCUCUAACAAGUUAUUGAGGAUCGGUUAGAAAUAACCUAAGGUGGGGAAGGCAUACUAAGCCGUGUGUCUUUCUAUUGAUUGACUAGUAGAACGCCCGUGCGUUGCCACGGGCUUUUGAAAAAAAAUUAAGGUACUACUCACUGAGCUAAGAUUACCGAGAACAAUGUCACAUCUUUUUCUUCAACAUAAUCAGCUAACACACAUCAUAGUAUCGAACACAAUAAUCUUAGAGCACCUAUAGCCCGUCCCCUCAAAUCUACGGACACGCCCUGUCGUUGACCGAAUAUGAGAGAGAAGGAAAAAGGUGACCCAACCAGACCCCUUAUAUCAUCACCAUAAGUCCGGGUUGUCUGCAAACUAUCAUAUUAACACCCAACAUAUGAAGGAUAUGAAGCUCGCAACACCUAGUCAAUCCGCCAGGUAGGACGCCCGUCCGUUGCUAUGGGAGAAGACAAAAAAUGCCACAAACACGUUACAACAAGCACUAAAGUUUCUCUUCCUGCAUCGCACCUUUUCACCACUGUGAUUCCCAAACAUUUGUCCAAAUCAAAAUGGGCAUAGAACAUAAGUACAAAUGUUUGGAAGCUAAAAGUAUACUACAUAAUUUUUCACUUAUAACACCUUUGUCCCUAUUUUUAACAGUGACUCGCUAUUGCAGCAUAAACUAAUUCAUUCUCGAAAUAUUCAGAAGAAAACAUAUUGACCAAGCAAAAAUCACUUUGGCACAAGAACCUUGUGACAACUAUAGAAAAAAGAUUGAGAUGGUUACUCUCAUAGAAGACAGCUUCAAAUAUAAUUUUAGGAAAUAAAUUUGUACAAUAUUGGCCUACACCGAAAGAAAAAAGCUCAUACACACAGUAUCAUGAAGGAAACGAUUCCUCGUUAUCUCAGUUCCAAAUGGAAACUGGUAUCAAUUCACUAAGAUUUAAAUGAAUGAGAACUGUUAAAUCCAUGUCUAUCUCCAUUUUUAGCGAUUUCAGCAGCGGGCUCACGGGUAUCUACACAACAGAAAUAUAGAAUAUGAGUUUCGGUUCACUUUAUGUGACAAUUAUAGAAAAGGAACAACCACAAGAAAAAACAAACAAACAUGAGAAAGCACAUGCAAGCAAAUAAGCCUUUAUUUUUUCUGAUGAACAUAUGAAACAUCAUAGUAACUAAACACAGUAACAAACCCAUUUGAAGGUAACCAUAUUAGUGCCCAUAGUGCAUAGUUAUUUGAUCCAUAUUUGUUGUCACGGGCGACAAGUACAUAAAAAUUGAUGAACGAUCAAAGGGUAUUUGGUCAAAGGAUAGUUAGUUCUACUUCACAAAUUGCGACCAUGAUACAUUACAAGUUUCAUAGAUUUUUGGUUUAAUGAAUGUUCAGCUAAGAAGAAAAUGAAUAAAAUAUCAACAUAUUAAUCUCUACUAUUAAACCACAGUUGGUACGUUAAACGGUACCCACGUAUCCACCACUCGCGUGACCUCCCCACAUCAUCGUUUUUUUCAACCGAACCCAUUUCCCGAUGCAAGGAAAAAAGCCCUACAACACCGACCACCCUUUUCCUUCUCCCUGGUACGACCCCCACAUGCACGAUUGCUCCUACGGCGCCGAUUUUGACCAUGUCUCCCAUGUGAUGUUGCUUUGUCCCGCUCCCUCUGCCAUCCAGACGCACUCCCUUGCCGCCUCUCUGCUUCAAGGUGUGUGCUCUGAAACCGUCACCUCCUUUCUUCAGCCCGUGGCAUCUAUUCUUCAAUGGAUCAUCUCAAUUUUUCGUCCUUCACUGAGUCCGGCGGCGACAACCAAAGAACCAAGUCCCCAUCCAUUUUUUGAGGGCAUGCAAUUAACGAAGGGGAUGUGUGGCCCAUGAGGUUGCUGCCAUCAGCCAUCGAGGCUGCUGAAAUCUAAUGAAAAAGUGCCUACGGUACAGUUCAUUUCCACUCUCAGUUGGUAGAAAUAAUCAAAUUUCAAGCAUACAAAUUCAAAAUGAAAAAGUCUAUUAUGAGCACCAGAAAGAUAGAAAUGAUCCAUUUAUUUCAAUGCAUACUACUACACCUUGGUGCUUAAAGACAAAACUUAGUUGCAAACAGUGCAUUACCUAGGAAGAACAUUUGGUGUACUGAGCAUAACAAUUCAAAAUUAUUCUAUGGCUAUGAAGUGCCUAAAUCUGAGGUUGCAACAUGAAAGCAAGUACUGAUCAAAUUGACAAAUUAUAUGGUUCAUUCGUUCAUAGUGAACACAGAAUUAAAAGAACUGCUAGAACUCAUGGUGGCAUUCUAUAGAAGCAUCAUUCUUCUGCAAGUAUAGUGUUCUUAAGAAAGCAUGGUGUAGCCAAGAGAUCAAGGUGUCAUACAAGCAUUAUUUCACAGCACAAUCUAGGGAAAAAAUCCUUCGUUCUGGAAGAAUGGCAACCCAAGAUGUACCGACGACAAGAUCCACAGUUGCUUUGCAUUACUCCAAAUCAAGAGUUGCGAUAGCAACCUGUUAAUCUGACAUACCUUUAGAUAGAAGCUCAACGACAAUUUCCUUCUGAACCCAUAUUGAGAAAAAUAAGCCAGAUUUGAAUUUUAAUAUCUUUGCCAGCAUUUAUUUUCAACUGUGCAGGCAAAAUAAAACAUGAAUUUCACACCGCAGAAACUACUAAAUGUGAAAUUACAGAAUUUUAGCAUUUGAAUAUGAGAGAAAUGUAAAGCAUUGUACAUGAUAGUAAUCGUGUUUCAUAGAACUUUGUCAGUGGUAGUGACAUGCCACCGACACCAAAUGCCGUUUAUAAUGUACUCCAUAAUGAUCUUUUUUCAGUUUAUCCAUAAUGAUCUACAACCAUUCCUUGAGCUUCACAUGGUACCUGGUCCUGAUACCAACAUCAAAACAAUGCAGAGUAUUGCUAUGUUUUAAAGUGUGCUUGUCUUAGCAAGGCGUGCCUCGGUUUUCGUUUACACCAUGGUAAACCUCCCACUCUCUAUAUCUCUCUCUAAACAUCUCCGCCUCCAUCAUCGCCCCCGCUCCCCUCACUAUGUCUCUAUGCACUGCCACUCCCCUGCUACCCAAUGUUGGUCCCUGUUAAACUGUUUAACCAUCCGUGAAUUAAACACUAUGCCUUGAAAAAUACUUUCCCUUUAUAAUGAAACAUGCCUACUUCUUUUCCUAAAUAUCAUUCAUCAAUUCAAAUUUGUGAGGUUUCUCUACUACUUAAAUAGUGCAUUAUAUCAACAUAAACUUCAAGUGAGUACAAUAAUUAAGUGAGGUAGCUACAUGCUUGCAUUUCACCUAAAAAUGAUUAAAAGAAGUACUAUUUCGCUCUAAGGUGUCAUACAAACAACAAUAACUCAGUGGACUUUCUGUACAAUUUAGAAGAAAAGCGCCUAGUAUAUCACCCCACUCGACCCUGCUUGGCAUAGAAGAUGGUAGACUCAAAAGAUAUACUAUUUCUAUUCCUUAGCCUGAUGGGUCUGUCUCUCUCAAUAUUACCUCCAUCCCACUAAAACGCAUGCAUUAUGAAUCAUGAACAGGGUGGCUAAUGCAUUUCUGUUACAAAUAUGCUACCAGAAAAAGCUAUAUGAAAUAAGCAUGAUAAACACGAACCAUAUAUUCUCUACAAAUAACACAUGAAAACAAAAUAAACUACAACUUAUAACAGAUUGUACUGAAGAUAAAUCAUCACCCUUCACAACAUGAAUUCAUUGUGAAGCAUCAAUAUUUACAUAAAACAAAUUCCAUGUCAUGCUUAAUGCAAAAGUCUGCACUUAUAUCAGCAAAAAAGAACUUAAAACAAUUUUGAAGGGACAACAUCGCUAUCAGGUGGCAACUCUCCUGCAGCAGUGGCAACAAAAGCAAAUAUGAAGAAGUCUUUACUAACCCCACGUGCGAUUCUGAAAAUGAAAAGAUGGAGAUUGAUGUCGAACAUCCGACACUGACGAAGAAGAUGGUCAGGCCAAUCGCAUAAUGUACAGUACAAAAUUUAUGACAAUGACAGUUUAUUUCGAUCAUCUAUCUUUCCAAAAUACACAACUUCUUGUGAGUAAAGUUUUGCCAUCUUUUCUUGUUAUUUAAAGAACCAAACUGCAAGAAGCAACAAGUAGUCAAGCACAAGUUAGAAAUUGUAUUGGACGUACAGUUUUGCCAUCUCAAAUUUCUAUCUUGCUAUUACUAAGCUCGCGGUUGCACUUGAGAAAACGGUGGCAAUAAGGACCGAGGAAACAGUUACUUAAAACAAAUUAUACACUUAUGUAUACGGAAAGAGGAACCAGACUUGUCAAUAUGAUGUUGGACUGUCACUACUUGUAAAACUGAGUUUUCUUCUCUCUAGUAAUUUCUUCCUGGAAAGAUGAUAAAGUAACUCAUGUCUGCUAAAAUACAAAUAUGUGGAUCAAUAGAUAAUAAAGUGACAACGAAAGUUAUAUGAAACUCGCAAAAGAGAUGUUAACCUCAGAACCUUUACUGGAUGGUUGGUGCAACGGGCAGCACAACGAAACCGGGAAGUGAGCUGGGAGCGGACGGACGAUCUGGCUCUUCAUUGCGUCGUGCUACAGUCCUCUCGUCCAAAUCAUCCGACAACGCUCAUGUCCUCAUCAGUCAUCUCGUCCAAAUCAUCCUACAACGCUCAUGUAAAAUGUUUUCAUAAAUAAGCACAUGUUCUUGCAGGACAAGAGAUUUAAUUGAUAGCUAACAAGUACCCGAUGCUUGCAAUUAGCCUGGUGUAGCAGGUUCAGCUCCUCAUUGAUGGCCAUCAAGAUGCGCUUUGUAUUGGUAUAUGGUCUCCUCCAGCCUCUCCAACCUCUGUAUCACGAUGCACCGUUGUUCAGUUCACGGUAAACGAAUUUGUUUAGGUUAGCAACAGUGGAAAACAUACGUUGGUGUGUGGCCAAGCAUGGAUGGAGUUACCGUACAUACCUUUCAUAAUGUUCUUCUGUAGCUCAAUGUUCGCCGUGCAUCUUAUGUCCACCACCACACACCUGUCCUCGUUCGGUCCAAGCAGGUCAUUUUGCUAGGUUCAGAAGGAGUGAAAACAAGAUAUGGCUUAAUUGCUAGGUUCAGAAGGAAUAACAAGAAGUUGCAUUGAGUUUCCAGUAAAAGGCACCUUAAUUGCACAGUGUGGCACAAUCUGCUUUUUAGUAUUUUCCAUUUUAAGAAAAGCUUAUUUGAAAAUAACAAGAAGUUGCAUUGAGUUUCCAGCACAAGGCACCUUAAUUGCACGGUGUGGCACAAUUUGCUUUUUAGUAUUUUCCAUUUUAAGAAAAGCUUAUCUGAAAAUAACAUACAUCUGGUACUUAGAUGGCACUACUUCACUGCAAGUCUGCAAUAUACAAUAUGCACAAAACAUAAAUUCCUUGAAAUGCUUUGUGCACUUACUAAUUAUGAUCAACAUCAGCUAUGAAGUUUGUUGUAAAAUGUACUCUUGUUAAAUCUGGAACUAAGUUAUGUGUAUGCAUUUAACAGCAUAAACUUAAGGGCUUAAAUUAAGAAAAAGGAAAAAAAUUGAAAAUUUAACCACCUUGGCUGAUCCAUAAUAACAUAUACAUAGAAGUUGCCAGCCAACUCUUGUUGAUCCUACUUACCACAUGAACUUGUUCACAGUUGAGUAAGCGUACUGAAUUUAAUAAUAUCAAGUAAUGUGGUAUAGGAAAAGGGGAAGCUUUAGAGCCUGAAUAAUGACUGACAAAAAUAGAGAUAUCUCCAGCUUUUUCAUGUUGGCACCCUGACCUCCUCGUAAUUGAUCUGCCUGCCAAGUUCUCUGCAAUCACCUGCAGGAACACAACCACGCAAUGUGUACAUUCACUUACAACUCAGGCUCACAUGGAUAUUGGUGAGGCAAUGAAAUAGAUGAUGCCAAUGAAAUCAGUUUAUCUCGCGGAAAUCAUCAGGGACGAACACCUGAUUUCGAAAUCCCAAAGAAUGAAAACAACAACGCACUCGGACUGGCCGAUGGCGGUGGAUCUUGCAUCCUCAUUAGCACGACCAUGCUCAGGUCCUCAUCUGCCGAGGAGGCACUUUUAUACCGCAUCAGCACGAAGUGAAACAGUGGCGCCAGCAUGACCACCUCCACCUGACAUCAACAUAUGUACAAACAGAUUAUGUGAACUGAAGUCUCUAUACUCUGCAAAGUGUGACAUAGCUCAUAAUUCAGAUGAAUUUAAUCCUACAGAUAUGCAUAUCACAACAAUGAAUAAUCUUUUCCAUGCAUCCAUGGAUAACUCAAGCUUGCCAAUAUCUGGUUAUUGAUCAAGAGUGAAGGGACAACUCCAAUCUACAAUAAACCUGAUUAGGCUGCUGACAUGAAUGGAGCAAUUUGCAGUGAUCUGGUCGCGUCACCGGGCUGUCGACGGGCGUCGAUAAGGAGUCGGCGUCGUCGGGCCGCCGACGUUGAGAUAGAAGACGGAGGUUCUGCUUCAGACUAUUGGAGCAGCAAAAUUGUCCAAAUCAAUAGAGAAACUGAAGAUAUUGCAGCAAAAUUGUCAAAAUUAUAUUAGCCACUAAAACUCCGAAGUCUUGCAGCAGCAAGAUAGCAGAAAGAGAUGGGCUGGGAACAUAACAUAAUUUGCUCUUCCAAUAUGUAUUCCGAACUGAUCUAAAAAGUAGAUAAUUAAUCCAAUGUAUUCUGUUUGUACAUCAACAUUUGACACGCCCAACUCGCUGUAUAUGUCAUUUACCGGAUGUUGAAAUUACAGUUUGUAUCUUUGUUCUGACGCUAUACUUGAAAUCUUUGUGUUUUCAAGAAAUAAUCUAUCACACUUCUACAAAGGAAUGAAAAUGUACAAUUCUGUUUGCGGACAUGCUUCUUCUACUUCUAUUUAAGGAUUGCAUUUACUUUUAUUUUAAAAGAUAACACCGACCAAAGAUCUGAGAAUGCAUUAGUACGUACAUGAUAAUUAAAAUGUAAAUAUUCAGACCAAAACAUCAGAUCAAAGGAGAUUAUAUUCACAUAAACUUGACUGACAUUAAAUUGAAAAAAGCCAUGUAGUAUAAGACCACAGCAACAACAGACAUGUAGUGCUAGCUUCCAAGGAUUCAUUUCAGUACAGGAAGAAUUAAGGGGGAGUUUUGUUCAAAAUAACAAUCAAGGAGCGGCCGUUUACAUACUGAUGGACACAUACAAAUGGACAACCAAGGAACGGCCAUAUAUUGCAAGUGCCAUUCACAUCCAGACGCAUACAGACUGAAUACAAACUGAACCAAAGAACCAAACCAAGAUGCUUAUCCAUAUGUAUGUAUGUAACAGAUGCUAGUGCCAUCCAGAUUUGGGGGUAGAGAGAGGGGAAGCUCACCACGUCCACGUUUCAAGUGUCGCAUACAGGAGGAGGCGAAUCCACGAGCGUGAGGAUGAGCUGGACAACGCCGGAUGGGUGGGCGGGAUUUGGGGACGGGGGUGCCUGAGCUGUAUCGGUGCGCGUCCUUGGAGGUAGAGGACGAGAAGGAGCACCGGCGUUCGCCGCCGCCAUCAUCGACUGGGACAAGGUUGUCGCGCCCGCGCUCAUCCCGAACAGCCGCUGCAAGGCGUGCCGCGUCUGCACAUCCUACGGGAGGAGGGCCUCCGUGCGGCCCUGUUCCCGGAGCACCAUCCAGCAGGUGCCGAUGGGGAUCGGGAGAGAUAGAAGACGAAGCAGCGGCGGCGGCCCUCGAUGGAAAAGGGGGAAAGCGGAGGUCGGGAUUGACGCACAUGGGCCUCGAAAUACCUGUGUUCGUCCUCCAAACGAGGCAAGGCGGGCAGGGUCUCCUCCAAUCAGGGCAACGCGACCACGCCCUUGGGGAUCCGCGGCGGCGGCGAGCGGCGUCUCUCGUGAUUCGCGACGGCGGUGGCGUGUGGCAUCCCUGGGGAUUCGCGGCGGUGGCGGCGUGCGGCGUCCCCGGGGAUUCGCGGCGGCGGCGGUGGUGUGCAGCGAUCUGGGUAGGGAUCGUGGAGGGGCGUGCGGGGACGAAUAAAAACCUGACAAAAAAAUGACGAAAAAAACCCGACGAAACUAGGAGGUGGGAGGAUAGAUGAAAAAAAACCAGCGAAAAUUAACCGGCGGACUAUUCACUAACUGCUUCAUUAGGAGUAGAGAUACCCUCCCAUCGCCGUCUGAAUUAGAUGCAUACACCGUGCGUGCAUGGAACCGGAUCCUCUAACAUUGAGAAGCAAAGUUAGAGAAGCUACAAUACCCUAACUUUCCUUCUUUCUAUCCAUGUGAUUAUGGCUAAAACGAUUUAAAUUAAUUUGCAAAUUGAUGAUCUACCGUGUACAUUUAUAGUACUCCCUCCGUUUCUUUUUACUCCACAUAUAAGAUUUGGUCAAAAUCAAAUUACACAAAGUUUGACCAAAUUUACAUAAAAAAUUAUGAAACAGUACUAAAACUAUAUAGUAUGAAAAUAUGUUUCAUGGUGCAUCUGAAUAUAUUGAUUUCAUAUUGUGAAUGUUUAUAUUUUUUAAUAUAAAGUUAUUUUUUAAUAUUUCUCUUGUGCCCUGUGCGUGCAAAAAGCUACUACCACUCGCCAUCUAGGUGUAUUCAGUAGCUAGUGCUGCCUUGGCCUGGCUAGCUAAGCUUGCUACUGUUACUGACGGAGGCUACGGCUAGGCGUAUAGGAGCACUAGUAGUGCUCUACAGUGGCACAGUGAUGUGAAGUGCUCGUUUGUUCCGACAUGAAGACCUGUCUGUCUGUACGUGCAUGCUGCCAUGCUGCAUAUGCGUGCGCGGGGGGAAAGCUACGAGCAUGCAUUGGUGCCAAGUCUGAAUGCUUGUGCGUUCCCAAAGAAAAUCCAGUGAUCACGAUCUUCUGCACUCCUGGCUGCCUUGCUCUCCUCUCUUUGGAAACGGAGCUCCAUCAAUACCCACAGAGGUUCGGCGAAAGAACAAAAGAAAAGAGAUCGUCGGCGGCCUCUGCUGCAUGCGGCUGCGAUGAUGACGACGAGUAAAGAGGACGUCGUGUCUCUGGGUAGCUGAACUGCUGAAGUAGGUCGUGUAGUAGUGAAGCACUAUGCUUUGUAGUUGCAUCGGUCGAUUGGAGUUCAAUGUGCCCGACAACUACAAGACCCCUUGCUUCCGAACGCAAUUUGAUUUGCACACGUCGGGCCAGCUCUAAUUCCUCCAUCCAACCUCUCUCUCUUUUUCUUCCUUGUGAGUCUAUGUUACCACACUAUGCUGUUCAUUUUUAUUUUCUUUACAACUUUUCAGUCCUUAACUAGUACACUACACAUCGUAAUGAUCAUUUGACUAGAAAUUCUUGGCCGUGUCAACCGGUUUCCAGCGUAGACCAAUGCCGAAAUGGAGGACGCCACGCCACGGCCAUCGGAGGAGAGGCAAAAGGGUGAAUGGUGCGUGGGACGGGUCACCGGAGAUGGAGAAGGUGGGCGCAGUACACAUGUGGCCGGGGUCGGCGGGUCGCCUGCUGUGUAGGGUACGGUGCGGCUCUCAACGACGGCUGCAAUGCGCCACCCAUGCUUGCUCUACUGUCGCCGGGACGUACGUGUGCGAGAUGUCAAGCUCACAGGCAGCUCUCGGGAGUGCAGGCAUGACUAGUGUUCCUCCGCCGCCUCCAUGCCGGCCGGCAGGCACCGCUGGGUGAUCUGAUCGAUGUGAUCGGUGAUCGGUACGGCACGCACGUAGCUUCGCUCGCGUCUCACGUCGUUAUGAUCUUCCGGCAGUCGAUCGAUUCAUGUCGGGGGUUUCGACCGGCUUGAAUUUAUUUGGUGGACCGUGCUAUACCUCGCUAGCACAUCCAUCACAACAACGUCGCGUCAUGCAUUUCCAUCUUCUGCUACACUCUCUUUUUUUAUUGCGGACUCAAUACUUGUAUUACUCAAUCACAGUAUCGUUACAAUCUUCAGCAACUAUCUCCAACACUUCUGGAGGACCCGACCCUUACCAAGUCAUGGUCCUAUUAUUAAUCCGACCAAAAGCAGCUAACCUGUCACUCGCUUUAUUUUGCGACCGAGUGACCUGAGUAAUACAAGUUUGAUGAAGACUCAAAAGAAAUCUAAUUUCAUUCACUAGGGAAGAAUAUACUGAGCGAUCCGUGCUCCCACAUGUGAUCAUAGAAACUGCAACCGAAGAAUCCAUCUCAAUUUCGAUCGGUAGUGCUGUACGUUGAAUCGAGGAAGAUAAACCCUCCAUACACGCACAUAGCUCAGCCUCCAACGCAUCCCUGCAUGAAUACAAAGCUCUGCAAGCUGAGAAGAUAAUUUUCCCUGUAGCAUCCCUCAAUAUCAUCCCCGCUUGCAUCUUCAUUCGAGCCAAAAGCACCAUCAGUGUUAAGUUUAGUCCAGCCCUGGCACGGUUUGAUCCAACCAAGCUGCCGUGGCACUUGUCUAACCGGCUGCACCCCAUCGUCCAUGUUAAUAUAUGAUUUACCUUUAACAGGAUCAGCUCCAAUAUCAUGUUUGAUCGCCAUAAGGGACUCCAGGUAGCUCUGCAAGAAUCUUCUGCUACACUCUCACUUAGUAGUACAAACGUGACAACUCCGCACACCUCCGCAACUUAUCCUUUAAUCCAUUAUAUGCUCCUUAAGUUUGGAGCUCUCACAAUCAAGUGAGUUGUGCAAUUUGAGAUUUAACAUGCGAUAUUUGGUUCGGUCAUGUGCUCGGCAGGUCCCUUUGGUCAGUGCAUGAUUUUUUUAAUUAUAGAUCUCUACAAUUUUUGUGCUCCUCGGUGAAGACGCUUAUUACACCUAGGCCGAUCUGAUAUCCCCGUGUCGCGUAGUUGCUCUUUUCAGCACUGUGUGCUGGCUUCGCAUCUGCUCUCUCCGUCCGGAAAUACUUAUCAUCAAAAUGGAUAAAAAAAUAUGUAUCUAGACGUAUUUUAGUUCUAUAUACUACCUUUUUAUCCAUUUUGAUGGGCGCAUGCGGUACUUUACUACUCUAAAUUGUGCCAACUAAUUAGUAGACCAGGUGAAAUAUGGAGUAGCAUAUGUAUUGACGAAGUGGAACUGGAGGGGUAAAAUUGUAAGAUUUUUUUAGCGAAAAACCCUUGCGCGCGAGUAUUGGGGAAAAAUCCGUAAAAAGUUAUACACCAACUAAAAAAAAUCUGUAAAAAGUUAUAAUCUAGUGCUGCAGCUUAAUUGGCGAUCGAGUAGAAGUGACUAAUGGCAUGAUCGAUCAGCUAGCAAUGCAUCUCCGUGCGGGAUGCGACCGGUAAGGGGCUGGCGCCUGUCACAUCUUGCCUAGCCCCGCCAAUUAUUUUAACAAUGCAAACAGUUGUGCACCACAUGAGGAACUUUGCCACUCUAAUAAAUAGGAAGGCCAUGGCAUCUUUAACCAUGCUCAUCUUAUGAUCGAUUUGAAACGAGAGAAAUGCACGUGUUUUCAAUAACAAAGGGACACCGCCCACGAUCUUGUUAGACAACAUCAAGAAAGAGACAUCACUUUGGGUGGCCGCGGGAGCUAAGAAGCUAGGGGUGCUCAUGUCGGGAGAGUAAUCCCUUUCAUGUAAUAAGGGGUGUUAUUUGUAACACAGCUAAAACUUUCCUUCUCUCAUAAUUAAUAUACGAGGCAAGUCUUUUGCCUCCGUUUCAAAAAUAAAUUAUACUCUUGCACCAUUAUAUCUGGUAAAUUUACGAUGUAUCAGAAAAAUGUACUAAGCAUCACGUUCAUAUUGAUGGGGUAUUAGGAAUGUAUCUACAAAUAAUUCACACGGGUUUUAGCCACAACAAACCCCGGAAGAAUACCUAUGCAUUCCAGUUUUGCUAUUUCACAUCUAGAUGUGAAAUAACUAUCUCACAUCUAAGCUAUGGUCCAUUGGAUCAAUUUGUCUUCAAGAUUCGCGCAAUGUCCUGUUUCUGUCUCGUGCGCUGGCUCGCGCCUCGUUGUUGCGCGCGGCGGGCCAUGUACAAAUUGUUUACGAGCGGGCGGGCCGAUGCCUCUUUUAUUUUUCCUGCAUUAUUGGAUUGGUGGGCCGUUUGUUUGUCCACAGCAAGUGUAUCGCCACUGUCCUCGCAUUCCUCAUCCUCUCCGUCUGGGCGGCGAUUCCUUCAGGCGGCGGCGAUUCUGGUGACAGAAGGCGGAGAGGAGAGAGCCGCAGCAGGUUCUUGCCCCCCCUCCCCCCCCCCCGAGGAGCUGUUCCUGAUUUGUUGUUGUUUGAAGAGUUUACCCCUCACGGAGCUGUUCCUGAUUUGUUUUGACUGUCCAUUUUCUUGUUUUUGUCGCACCUAGGGUUUCUUGUUCGUAGGUAGAAACAUCAAGAACUCGUUAUCUAAGGAUGGCAUGACAUAGUUGCGUGGAGGGAGGAGGGGAAAAUGUCUGAAACCUCAUAUUUUUGCUGUGAACGGUGCCAUAAGAUAGGUGUAGUUUUCUUAGAAGUUCAGAGAUACAGUUGUAGGCUUUUUACUAGUGAGGUGUUGUAGAAUUAAAGUUUUGCUACUGAACGGUGGCAUCAGAUAGUGUAGUUUUCUAGAGUUCUAGAUGGAUUAUUUUAUUAUUAAUUUUUGUUAGGAGAUAUUCUGGUGUCCAAAAUUUAAUUUUUCCAUUUGUUCAGUUUACACAUGUGGGUUUCAGUAACAGAUUGGUGUUGUUUUCAUUCAGAGUUAGCUUUGGGUUUUUUUUACCCAUGUGGCCGUUGAUAGUUGGUAGUACAUUUUUUGUCCAGAUGUAUUUUUAUCUUGAGUUUUUCUUGUAGUGUAGUUCUUUCUUUAUUGUCUGGUAGUUCUUUUGUUGGCAGUGUAGGUGUUGGUUCUGUAGUGUACUUCUUGUUUGGUAGUUAUUUGUCAGGAGAGUACAAUGAGAUGAUGCAAAAUGCUACCAGUGUUGCGUUAGUCACACGGAUUCAAGUUGCUUUAGGAGCACAAAAUGGGCAACCUCCACCCUCCUCUUUUUUUUAGAAUCAGCAAGUGAUCUGAAAUUCCAAUGUCACAUAAUUAGUUCAUUUUGAAUUAAGGAGGGACAAAGGGUACUCUCAGUGAGUUUUUUCCUUGUGCAUACGUACACACAUGUGUGGCUCUUGUUCUCUCUGUUGUCUAGCUAUCUUAUUACCAAUAAAUCUGGGGGUAGCACAUAUGUUUUUAUUUGUUGUCAUUUUCCUUUUUCAGGUUCAUGUCAUAUAAUCAGCAGUUAAGCCAUUUUUUCGUCGCUCUUUUUUUGGUAAGCAGGUGUCGUGUGGGUUUUGUGGGAACUUUUUCCAGAAUGCCGAAGCUGUUGACUUCAACGUCCAUGGGACGAGUUCCGCUCUUCAGCGGUAAUCCAGUAGCACUUGCAUGUGUGAACUAUUUUAUGAUUUCAUAUUUUUUUAAGCUAGUUUUAUACAUAUCCAUAUCUUAGGUGUUUUCCCUUCUUCUUUUGUCAGAUGAAGUAUGUUAUGUCAUAUGUAAUCUAUCCACAGGGACGGCGAGUAGUGUGGUUGAAAACUUGAUAUAAGUUGCCUUUUCUGCUUUUUUUGUUUUUCGAAGCUAUAGUAUGUUUAUUAGAAAAUACAGAAAUUACAAAAAAAGGCAAAACCAGUUGCAAGUCAACACUCGAAUCGCAACCAGGGGCUUUUUUGGUAGUUGUAGUUGCCCUAGUUGCAAGUCCAACCUCGACUUGCAAACUGAGGUCCGAGUUGCAAGUCAACCCCCGACUUGCAACUCGGAGGGCUUUUUCAUAUUUUCUGUAUUUUGCCCCUACUUGCAAGUCAACACUCGACUCGCAACUCGGGUCUUUUUUUAUACUUUGUAGUUGCCUCAUUUGCAAGUCAAGCCUCUACUUGCAACUGGAGGCCCGUCGACUUGCAACCCCGGGAUUUUUUGUAUUUUUUGUAACAGAUUUGAUAUUUCACAUCUAGAUGUGAAAUAGCUACCUCAUAUCUAACUGCACAGCCAUUGGAUCUCAUCCUAUCUUUAAGAUUCGCGCAAGUUUUUUCUGUCCCGGUCGUGCGUUUCGCUCCCGUCGCUCGUUGAAUCGUCCGUGCGCGCGGCCCAUCUAUAGUGGGUUGUGUUGUUUUUGCCUGUAGCGGGCCGUGUUGCUUUGUUGGGCUGGGGGCUGUUUGUUUGAGAGCAGGUUCUGGAGAGGAGGGGGCGGCGUUCAUUUACCCCACUUUGUCUCCCGAAGCAUUCACUUCGGCCGUUCCCCAUUCCUCUUCUACCAUUCCCCAUUGCUCCGGGUAGUUGGUGCUAGAGGCACAGUGACUUCUGGAGAGGGAGAAGGAGAAGGAGACGCCAUCAAUACUGAGUUGCAUGUUCUUCUCCCUUGUUCCUCUUUUUCUUUUUGUAGUGUCCAUGCGUUUUUGUGUUUCUUGCUCACUGAUUUUAGCAGCAUCUAUCUAGGGUUUGCUCCUCAAUGUCCCCAAAUGUGGGUAGGGUUCGUUAGCACCAUCCAUCUUCUUUGUUUCUUGUUUAUUUGUCCAUUGAUUUAGGGUUCUUUGCCUCGUCCAAUCUCCCGAAAUACGGGGUAGGGUUCAUCAGAUGUUCCAUCUAUCUAGGGUGAGUUGGGGGGGUUUGUUCCUCAAAUGUAUACAGAUAUGGGAAGGGGGGAUUUGAAGUAGAUAAAUUUUUCAGUGGGUUCCAGGGGUUAGGGUUUGGGUUUCAGAUGGUUAGUGUGCAGAGAAUACCUUUUUUUGUUGUAGUUUUUGGGUGAUUUUUAGUGUUAGGGUUUGUAUGAUGAACUAUAGACAGUUUUUUUGUCCUGGUAUACUCAUCAUUCUAUAGAUAGUUGAUUUCUCCUGUUAAGAAUUUUUGUAGAGUAGUGAUAGCUUCUGCAUGCAUUUUCUGUUUUUUUUGUCUUUUGGUGAGUAUUUCUGGAUCACUUGUGGCAGGCUGAAAUCAACUUUUCUAUCACUAUUUAAGCAUUUUGGAUCACUUGUGCCAGGCUCAAGUCAAAUUUUCUAUUAUUAUUCAAGCAAUUUUUUUUUAGAAAUAAAAGAGCUGAAGAUAAACAAAGAAGCAGGUCACAAAUGAAUGAACCUGUACCAUCUCAUUUUUUUGUGCGUAUUUUGAUCUACAUAGGUUUUUGUGCUCAAUCUUCCUAAAAUGUUUGGUAGCAGUUUGAUGUUUUAAGUAGCAAAGUUUUCAGCUGUGCGGCUGCGUAGCUUAUGUGUUCAGAUAAUUGAGUGCAAUGAUAGGAUUUCCUUUUUUGAUAGUUUCAGUCUGGGUUGGCACAUUUUUUUUAAGUUUCCCUAGAUGAAGUCUUGUGUCUGUAGGUAGGAAAUGGGGUACUAACCAUGUAGUUUUUGGUUUGAUUUUUUUUACUUUUAGGUUCUGUUUUUGCUAAGCUAAUUUUCACUCAGAGAUAGUUAUAAUUUGUAUCAAUCAAGGUUUUUCAUUUUAUUGUUUUUUCAGUUUGUAUCCAUGUUUCGUGACAUUUUACUUUUUGUCAGGCAGCGGCGAUUGUGGGGAGCGAGAAGGGAAGUGGAGGGGACCACCAUUCAAGUAUGUGAAGUACAUGCGAUUAAGUUAUAUGUGUUUUUUUUUUCAUUUGUUAGGCUAUAUGUGUGUUCAAUAUACUCUAAUGUGGUGGUAAUUUGUGUGUGCAGAGGAUUAGGUGAAAUGUUCAGUAGUUGAUUUUUGUAGUGUUGUUUGUAGUAUUCUACAUAUAUAAGUUGGAGCAGCAGCUCAUGAUUAUCUUGUUUUUGUAGUGCUCUAUACAUAUAGUAGUUUUUUUCUGGAUGUUAAAGAUGGUAUGCACAAUUGAAUACUAGUUGUGUAAUACAGUCCUAGCUUUUUUGCCUAUAUUUUUUGUAACCUGUUUGUUCGUCACUAAUCUCUAGUUUCUAGUUACUAGUUUUCGACAGUUCUACCAUAAGUACUUUUGACAGUUUUCCAUAGUUACUUACUAGUUACUAUUUUCAGCAGUUUCAUUAGCGUAAGCAUCGGUAUGAGCACCAUCAGUUACAGUCUUGCUCUCGAUCUUUUUAUUAUUAUCUUUUUGACUUUUUCCUAUGAUUCAGGAUGGUGUGCCAAUUUGUUUUGCUCAUUUUUGCAAGGUGGACAAUGGUGAGAGCUUUGGCAUGUUUUUUCCUGAUGCUGACGAAACCUUUACGGUAAACUUUUUGUUUGAUGCGACUUGCAAGUUGAACCUCGACUUGCAACUGGAUCUUUUUGUUUGAUGCCACUUGCAAGUCUGACUUUGCAAGUGGGUCUUUUUUGUUUGAUGUCACUUGCAAGUCGACCCUCGAUGUGCAACUAGGUCCUUUUGUUUGAUGUCACUUGCAAGUCGACCCUCGACUUGCAUCUGGGUCUUCUGUUUUCGUGCCACAGGCAAGUCGACCCUCGAUGUGCAACUAGGUCCUUUUGUUUGAUGUCACUUGCAAGUCGACCCUCGACUUGCAUCUGGGUCUUCUGUUUUCGUGCCACAGGCAAGUCGAGCCUCGACUUGCAACCGGGUCUUUUUGUUUGAUGUCAAAGUCGAGCAUCGACUUGCAACUCGGGUCUUUUGUUUGAUGCCACUUUGCAAGUCGACCCUUGACUUGUAACUGGGUCUUCUAUUUUUUUAUGCCAGUUUGCAACUCGACCCUCGACUUGUAACCGGGUUCUUUGUUUUAUUCCACUUGCAAGCGGACCCUCGACAUGCAACUUGGUCUUUUGUUUGAUGCCACUUGCAAGUCGCCCCACGACCUACAACUAGGACUUCUGUUUUCAUGCCACUUGCAAGUGGACCCUUGACUUGCAACCGGGUCUUUUAUUUCAUGCCACUUGUAAGUGGACCCUCGACUUGCAACUGUGUCUUCUUUUUUAUGCCACUUGCAAGUAGACCCUCGACUUGCAACUGGGUCUUUUUGUUCGAUGCUACUUGCAAGACCCUCGACUUGCAACUUGUCUUUUUUAUAAUGCCCACUUGCAAGUCGAGCCUCGACUUGCGACUGGGUCUUCUGUUUUUCAUGCCACUUGCAACUGGAAACUCGACUUGCAACUAGGUCUUUUUUGUUUGAUCACACUUGCAAGUUGACCCUCAACUUGCAACUGGGUCUUCUUGUUUGAUGCCACUUGCAAGUCGACCCUCAACUUACAACUGGGUCUUCUAUUUUUGAUGUCACUUGCAAGUGGACCCUCGACUUGCAACUAGGUCUUCUGUUUUCAUCCCACUUGCAAGUGGACCCUCGACUUGCAACCGGGUCUUCUGUUUUCAUCCCACUUGCAAGUGGACCCUCGACUUGCAAGUGGGGUCUUUUUGUUUGAUGCCACUUGCAAGUGGGGUCUUUUUGUUUGAUGCCACUUGCAAGUGGGGUCUUUUUGUUUGAUGCCACUUGCAAGUGGGGUCUUUUUGUUUGAUGCCACUUGCAAGUGGGGUCUUUUUGUUUGAUGCCACUUGCAAGUGGACCCUUGACUUGCAACCGUGUCUUUUUUUAUGCCACUUGCAAGUGGACCCUCGACUUGUAACUGCGGUUUUUUUGUUUGAUACCACUUGCAAGUCGACCCUCGACUUGCAACUGGGUCUUCUGUUUUCAUGCCACUUGCAAGUGGACCCUCGACUUGCAACUGAGUCUUUUUUGUUUGAUGCCACUUGCAAGUCGACCCUCAGUUUUCAACUGGGUCUUCUUGUUUGAUGCCACUUUGCAAGUCGACCCUCAACUUGCAACUGGGUCUUCUAUUCUUGAUGCCACUUGGAAGUGGACGCUCGACUUUGCGAUCCAAUUACUUGUUUCAUGCCACUUGCAAGCCGAGCCUCGACUUGCAACUAGGUCUUCUGUUUUCAUACCACUUGCAAGUGGACCCUCUACUUGCUACUGUGUCUUUUUGUUUAAUGCCACUUGCAAGUGGAUCCUCGACUUGCAACCGCGUCUUCUAUUUUUUUGAUGCCACUCUCAAGUGGACCCUCGACUUGCAACCGGGUUCCUUUGUUUUUCAUGCCACUUGCAAGUGGAUCCUUGACUUGCAACUACUUCUUCUAAUUUUUUUAUGCCACUGGCAAGUGGNNNNNNNNNNUGGCAAGUGGACCCUCGACUUGCAACCGGUUCCUUUGUUUUUCAUGCCACUUGCAAGUGGAUCAUCGACUUGCAACCAGGUCUUCUUUUUUUGAUGCCACUUGCAAGUGGACCCUCGACGUGCAACCGAGUUCCUUUGUUUUUCAUGCCACUUGCAAGUGGGCCAUCGACUUGCAACUGCGUCUUCUAUUUUUUUUGAUGCCACUUGCAAGUGGACCCUCGACAUGCAACCGGGUCUUCAAUUUUCAUGCCACUUGCAAGUGGAUCCUCGACUUGCAAGUGGGUCUUUUUUGUUUGAUGCCACUUGCAAGUCGACCCUCGACUUGCAACUGGGUCUUCUUGUUUGAUGCCACUUGCAAGUCGAGGGUAAGUCGACCCUCGACUUGCAACUCGGUCUUUUUGUUAGAUGCCACUUGCAAGUGGACCCCCUACUUGCAACCAGGUCUUUCUUUUUUUGAUGCCACUUGCAAGUGGACCCUCGAUUUGCAACUGGGUCUUUUGUUUUCAUACCACUUUCAAGUGGACCCUCGACUUGCCACUGUGUCUUUUUAUUUGAUGCCACUUGCAAGUGCACCCUCGUCUUGCAACUGCGUCUUCUAUUUUUUUUGAUGCCACUUGCAAGUGGACCCUCGACUCGCAACCGGGUUCCUUUGUUUUUCAUGCCACUUGUAAGUGGACCCUCGACUUGCAACCAGGUCUUCUUUCUUUAUGCCACUUGCAAGUGGACCCUCGACUAGCACCGGGUUCCUUUGUUUUUGAUGCCACUUGCAAGUGGACCCUCGACUUGCAACCAAAUCUUCUUUUUUUGAUGCCACUUGCAAGUAGACACUCGACUUGCCACCGGGUCUUCUAUUUUCAUGCCACUUGCAAGUGGACCCUUGACUUGCAACUGGGUCUUCUGUUUUGAUGCCACUUGCAAGUGGAGCCUGGAGGUGCAACCGGAAUUGAAUUGUUACUCACAACAGCCAGAGGAUUUGAUGUUAUUCCAAACUGAUGGACCGGAUAGGCGAAUGAGUAAGGUGGAAGCAUCUGCAGAAAAUUAGCUUAGUUGCCUUGCAUUUGAGAAAGCUUCAGGUCAAAUACCAUUCCAGGGUACCGGGAGCGCGUAGGCUACGAUCAAAACCUACAAGUAAGUUUAUCUUUGUUUUUGUCCUCAAUCAGGUUUUUCUAAGCUGGAUCACACCUGAGUACCAAUGUAGUCUCCUGCAUAGAUAUCUUCAUUUCUGCAAAAUGCAAUGUUUCAAUGAAUCAAAACUAUUGUUGGAAUAGAUAUUCAAAAGGUUUAUGCUUGUGUUUUGUAUGUGAAGACUGAAAGUUGUAGUUGCUUUCUUUUUUUUUUCAACGAAAGAUUUUGAUCAGAUGUAGGCUACUAUUUUUACAUCAGUUGUAGCUGUCAUCACUUGUAUGGUGAAGACUGAAAGUUGAACCACAACCUGAUACACACCAUUUUUUUACCUUAAAACAAGCAAACCACCGUUAUAUGAUCCUAUUUCUUGCUUAUCAGGUAUAUGAACUUAUUUAUUUAUUUUUCUGCCAACAUGAAACAACACACUCUGAUUUAGUCAUCUAAGGAAUUCUAUCACAGAUGAUUGUAGUUAGUUUCAAAGAUUUUUCUCUCUUUUUUUACUUGAGAAUGGAGUGUUUCAUUUACAAAAUAAGCAAUUUUUCCUAACAAGUUAAGUAUGCUUUGUCAUUUACUCCAGUCUGCAGAUUUGUAUGGAUGGAACUAUGAAUGUGAUUGCUUAUGGCCAUUUUGUCAUCAUGCAUUUCCCCCAUUCAGAAUAUAAAUUUCCUUCUCAACAAUGUUUGUCUGCUCUGUUUCUAGCCCUGUAUUUUUGAUUGAGGGAUCUUGAACUGAUGACAGCCAACUGAUGUGCGUUUUUCCUACACACCAGCCUCUGCUUGUUUCUCCCAUCAACAGAUGGAAAAAGAGAGAGGUGAAAAGUAUCUACAAGGCCGUAUAAGACCAACCUCUGUUUGUUUCUAAAGCUGCAUAAACCCUGUCUGGGUUUUACUUUUCCAGCCACCAAAACUUCUUCUACAAGCAAGCAAGUGUUUUCUGCAGACAAACAAAGCCUGGUCCUUUUUUUCUGUCAAACAAACAAACAUGCAAAAAAAAAAAGCCCAAGAAACAAGGCCCAGGAGGCAGGGUAGUUGGGCUGGGUGGGUUUGGUGGGAGGGACAAAACAAUACAAGCCAAAACAUACAAACAAGUCCACGUGGAGGAGGGAUCAAGAGCAAACAGUCUGUUUUGUUUGUCAACAAGGGUAGUUUUUAGAGGUGAUGUCACAUUUAGAUGUGAGAUAUUAUCUCACAUCUAGAUGUGACAUAGACAGACCCUGGUUUCAACCAGAACAAACCUGAGAAGAAGUGUCUCCCACGAGUCGUAAAAUCAUACAUUGUAGGUAAAACAAAAUCAGAAAGACCAUCGGAUCUUAAAUCCUUCGUCGCCACCUACGACGUGUCUCAUUUUGGGUUCCGUCAUUCCAAGCAGUGUCUAGAAAAGUGAACUGCAUGGAAGAACGAGCCAUCACUCGAACAACUAUUGACCAGAUUAGGACAUUCAGGGUCAGUUUCGAUUCUGUGCCUGGUAGCCCUGCCAAUCAUCGGCCGGCCAUAAUUUUGGCAUAUGAUUCGGCUGCCAACAGACCGCCAAUAAUUUGGUCGCACAUACUAAGAAGACUAGGCCUGCAAGGGUUUGAUUUUUCUGGACUUUUCGGAAAUUUUUUUACCGCCCUUGUUAGCACGACGCGUGUGCUCAAGAGUCUCUGGGCGUAGCUUUUUUUUUUUCUGGCAAAGCAUUUUACACGUUUGGAUUUCUAGAGAGGUCGACCGCCGCUUUGAAUGUCUAAUCUGUCCCUUACAAUGUCUGGUCUUCCUCCAAUCGUGGGCCGCGUGGCACGGUUUUCACCACGUCGGUUUGCGAGAUGUCUCGAGAUCGUUCGUGGAUCCAUCCAGUCUAUGGUCCCACCGCCUUUUCUCUUGUAUAAAUAAGGAGUCUCCCAUCGCCCAACAGAAGACGAGCUCUCGUCCAUGGCAAAGAGAAAGAUGCAGAAAGAAUGGUGUGCGUACAGAGCAUGGGACGGUCGCAGCCGGGUACCCAAGGUGCCGGCGCUACUGGCUGACAAAGCCGCGCUAUGCUGCACAUGAGGAGGAUUGGAGGAACACCCAAUCAAUCGGAGGGCGGGUGGGCUGAGCAGCCGGACGGCGCUGCCAUGGGGGCAAGCGGUGAGCACGUGACAUGUAUCUGCCACUGCUGGCGAACGCUCCCGGCGCUGGAGACGGCCGUUCUUUUCCGCAGGUACGUGAAACCCAGCUGCAUACACAACCUAUCCCUCCAACCUCGCCCCAUCUCUGUUGUGCUUCCUCGGUGGAACUCAGACCGUGGCAUGCCAUUCCUAUCGCCGUCGUCACACCGAUGGCCCGGGCGGGAUCCGCCAUCCCCACGGCCGGGCCCCUCCUCGGUGGGCGCCCCUCCCUCAUCGCCGCCAACAACAGCGGAAGGUGCCGUGUCUGCACCGAGUGCCACGCCGUUUCCGACGUGGCGGAGCACAGCCACACGGCCAGGGCGCUCGGACUCCGCCCGCUCUUCGGCGCACCCUCCGGCUCAACCUGCGCGGUAGGCGGCUCCGGCGCAACGGCCCCCCACGGAGUCGUCGUCGGGCGCUCGACCCGGGCGUCAACCCCGUGGACCACGCGGGAGCAGGAUCCGCGGUCAGACCGUCCUCGCCGGGCGCCCGUUCGUGGCACAUGGCCACGUUGCGGCCAGCCACAGCGGACGCCCUCGUCUCUCCAAGGAGUGCCACAACGUCGCCGACGCGGCAGGGCACGGCCUGGACGCUCGGGCUUGGGCUACCCCCGCUCCUUGGCGGCUCCACCUCUGUCGCGACGGGCAACUAUGUUUUGUCUCUAAUGCAUGUUUGGCUAAAACCCUUCUAUUUUUUGCAGAGCUCUCACAAAUCAGUCAACCUACGAAGUGGCCAGAUGGAAGGGGCUAUUCUACUUGAGGUAUGUGCUAUCAAGAACAACGCAGGCUCCAGUGUGCUCUGAUUUUAUGAUUCUUCACUACUAUAUUGUUAGACUUGGUACUGGAGCUGUACCACUUGCAGGGUAAUUCUGGACAAAGCUCAUCCAUUCAGUAAAUGCAUAUAUAGAAACAUCUGUGACUUCUGCCUCACUAUGGAAUGAAGUUGCUCCGGAAGUCAUGUGAGGCUAGAGAUAUAGUUUACUGUCCUAUGAUUUCAGCAAUAUACGACUGGAAGUAGGUUCCUGUGAUUGAAACUGUACAGGGUGAUUUCUCACGCUUCUGUAUGAAUGUGAAUUCGAGCUGUGAUUGUAUGUCGCAGUCUACAGUUUUGCUCCUCUCUUUUCAUAGCCAAGCACAGUUUGCUCUUUUAAGCCAUUUGUGUUUGCAUCGCCAUUCAGAUUUUCUGUGAACUCAAUACCCUCCAAUUUCUCAUUCUUCUACUGUUCCGUUGUGCAAUAACCUUUCAAUCUAUGUAUUGCUUUAUGAAUUAGCAAAAAAAAAAAAACUCUGGCUAGAGAAAGCUGCACGUAUAAUGAUGCAUAUAGUUAGUCAUGGCAAAAAAUAUAUAUUUAGUUGCCACUGUAUUGUUACAUGUGAACCGCAACAAAACAGAUACUGCAAACAAGAACAAAUUCACACCUCUUCUGCUGGUGUUCUAUCACAUAUCAACGGUGAACACUAGGAUCGAUUGCGUUUGUUAUAUGAUAUGUAAUGUAAGCAGGCUUAUACAAUUUGUGUGUUUCUGUUGAUGUAGCUUACCUUGACAGGGGAGGAAAGCAUGACGGCCGUCUUUGUCAGGCUCACUGUGCAGAAGCUCUUGAUGAAGCACAAAACGUCCCAUGUCGAACCGCGGGCCGACAUGGUGUGAGAAUUGCAGUUAGCUGAAAAAUGGGGAUUAGACACAUGGAGAUGUAGCACUUGGGUGAGUAGGUACCUGCACGGCUUGUGAAUGGUCUGAAAUCUGAACCGUGAACCUCUCAUGGGGACUUGCCGCGCCUAGCUAGCUCUGAUCGCCGCCACUCCCCAAUGGUGAGCAUGUCGGAGAUCCCGCCACCACCACGCCCUACCUUGCCGCUUCCUCUUCUCCUCCGGCUUUGGCGGCCUCACUUGCAAGCGAGGAGCACUCGAUUGCUUCUUCUCCUCUGCCUCACGCGGCCUCGCUUCCUCCUAUUCUUCUGAGCUCAUGACAUUGUCUGCCGGCUUCUCCCUCUCUAAGCCACCCUCUACCUCGAGACAACCACGUACCUCGCCGAGGCGUGCUGCGCAGGUGAGGACCACUCAAUUCCUACUCCGGGCUGAGAGGAGACGCAGGAGCCACGGCGAGGGGCGGCGUUGAGCCGGCAAUGCAAGGAACAAAUGAACUAGGGAGAACGGGGAAUGGUGGAGGUGGGGAAUAGGCAGGGAGAUUCGAGAAGCUACACAGAUUCGGGAAUAGUGGAUCUCAGUCCACAGCCACACCACCGCUCGGUGCAGUCCAAGUGCAGCUAGCUAGGCACACACCAUGAGAAGAUGUGCGGUCAGGACUGUGCCGCGUGCGGGAGGGUCUGACCGAACGUCAGCGCAAUAGCGUCAGUUUUUUUUUAUUUUUUUUGCAAUAUAUAGAGCAUGCGGAAAAAAGGUAAGAUAAUCUAGAGCACAAAAGAACGAGAACAAUCGUAUGGAAUAUUGAUGGUUACAUUUAUUCUCAUGUAAGUUAGCUUUGAGAAAAUUUGACAUAUUGUAGCAGUCGAGGUUUGUGAAGUCUUAACCACUGCCCAAGAUAUUUGUUUUACCAUUUUGUAAUCAAGUUAGAAAUAUUUAAAAUAUACUACAUUCUUCCGUGGCCUUUUACCAUCACAUCUACAUUUCAAUUGACAGGAACUUCUGUAGUUGCAUACGAUUUUGUGUAUAUAGCGUGAAGUUUCAAAACAAACUGCAGUUGUAUACGAUUUUGUGUAUAUCGCGUAAAGUUUCACAACGAAAUUCAUGAAAACUAGCACAGAGUUUUAGAACAAAAUUCAUCUAACAACUCAAAAACUAUCAGCGAAACCCAGCUGAAGGAUCAACAUCUCUGGUCUAAGAAGAGAACAAGAGCUUCGCAAUUUUGCGUAGUGAAGCACAGCUGAAGGAUCAACAUCUCUGGCCUAAGAAGAGAACAAGAGCUUCGCAAUUCUGCGUCCAAGACAUCACAUAUGCAUAUACCAACUGGAUGUACCUUCUCCUUGCAUGAACUACUUUGCCAUGAAUCGGGUCUUGGGACAACUUACCAAAUAAUACAAAAAUACAAAAUAGCUAAUUAAUCCAUGUGGCGUGGCGUGCCGCCGCGCACUACCCGCUAGUUGAAUAGGACGAGCUGAUUGGCAUUCGACGAGACAGAAAAUGGGAACCCAGCCGAAUAGCCGCCCUCACUUCGGUCAAUGCC
RNAcentral lists this long non-coding RNA (39833 nucleotides) under Triticum aestivum (bread wheat). Its description in RNAcentral is "long non-coding RNA (TAES_LNC012043)". The stretch from base 10762 to 10894 matches the Rfam family "MIR1120/MIR1122 microRNA precursor family". The record is from RNAcentral. Lineage: Eukaryota; Viridiplantae; Streptophyta; Magnoliopsida; Poales; Poaceae.